CCUCACAAAAACAAGAACAUUUAUGCUGGACACAAAAAAAAACACAAAUAAUAAACUUAGACAACACAACUUAACCUAAAUAUAUUAUCUUAAUUAAAAAUUUGAAUAUUAUAUUAGUUCUUUCUCUUAAUUUAUAUGAAUUUUUCUGCCUUUUGCUUUUUCUUAAGAUUUUAUUUAAUGGAAUUUCUCCUUUUUUCUGUUGCAGGGUCUCCCUCCUGGUUCUGGUUUUUAUUUUUAUGCCAGUGGUUGUAUCAAACAAGCGGAUCACUCUUCCGCGACCUCGUCCACCAGGAUAAAGCAGAACCCGGAUAUCAUGGAUCAAGGGAAUUGGUGUUAUGGAGGCGGUUGCUGGGGCCUCAAUUUUGCGUUGUGGUGGUUGCUGUGGCCGUCAAAGAUGGGCUGACCUCUCCGCUUUUGUUCGCCGAGGAGGCCAGUUGAUACCCUCGAGAAAUUUAAAUUAUUUUGGCGAAACAAAUCAAUUACUAACGCCUUCACCAUAAAUAAUAAAAUAAAUAUCGAGGCUUUUAUUGCCUUAAAAAAAGUAA
Musca domestica (house fly) is the source of this 545-nucleotide long non-coding RNA. RefSeq lists it as uncharacterized. The record is from RefSeq and is a predicted model, not a curated record. Lineage: Eukaryota; Metazoa; Arthropoda; Insecta; Diptera; Muscidae. The transcript has 2 exons.